This is a long non-coding RNA of Centropristis striata (black sea bass), 722 nucleotides long. RefSeq lists it as uncharacterized. Lineage: Eukaryota; Metazoa; Chordata; Actinopteri; Perciformes; Serranidae. The record is from RefSeq and is a predicted model, not a curated record. The transcript has 3 exons.
UAGUUGCUCGCUGUGUUGAAGAGAUUUACGAAGUCGAGGUUUGAGAAGGAAUAUACGGACUUCGCGGUGAAUUAAAGAAUGGCCGCUACUUAGUUAUAUAAAUAACAUAUUUCAGCAAAUAGCCAUAGAGACGAGUAUUUUAAGAAAGUGCAAUCGGAGGAGUAAGAAGUUAAUGAAACAAGAGAGGAUUUGGCUAGCUAACCGCUGCUAUCUCAAAUUAGGCUUACAGGGAGGAGAAGGAACUGCAGAUUUGACAGCCCGAAACAACUCACGACAACACGGCUUUACCGCCAGCAAUAUCAGUGUCAAAUGCCAAGUUGUAUGUUCCAGUGAAUUAAACUUCAAGACACGCCGCCUUCACCGAGGUGGCAGAGUCCCCACUACAAGUUCCACCAUGAUCCACAGGUAGGCAGCCUAUGAAGUCUCUGUACCUGCUGACUCCAGACGCAGACUUUGAGGAUCCGGGCACCACCAUGAGAGCAGGGUCCUCUGAGUCCUCAUCACUGUCCUGAUCAUUCUGACUGGUAUUACGACUACUCACUGAAAAAGAGCAUGAGAUUAUAAUCAGAAAUCCUCGUUUUUGCCUGACCAGAAGCACGCUGGUUAAAUUAGCCACAGUGCGCAAUAGCUCCGAGUCACAGAGUGACAGAAGACGGCAAAGAUAACGUGAUUUCAUCCAGUCGGGGCUGCUGUUGAACCAGCCCCAGAUCUCAUUCAUGUCC